Molecule: long non-coding RNA, 329 nt
Organism: Micropterus salmoides (largemouth bass)
Lineage: Eukaryota; Metazoa; Chordata; Actinopteri; Centrarchiformes; Centrarchidae
Exons: 3
Source: RefSeq, a predicted model, not a curated record
UCAUUAAAAAAACUAAUGAUACUCCCCUCUACUUGUGAGAAAAUGGCAGGAGGGUGCUCUGGUCUUACAAAGCUUGAGGGCAAUCAUGUAGAUGGAUGUCACAGCAUAAUCAAUCCCGCAAUCAGUGUUUACCCUGCGGAGUUUGGAGGUUCACGUGAGCAAUCAACGUCAAUAUCAGAAAUCAACAGAAGCGCAGAAAUUGAAAAUCAGCUUGAGGAUGUUGCUGAUGAGUUCUGUCGCCUUGCUAUGUAAAGCCAAAAUAAGUGAUAAAAAAAAAAUAAAAAUAGUCUUCCUUAAGAGCCAUUCCUUCUAAAAUAACUGCAGUUUUA